CUCCUUUAUAGUCAACCCCCACCACACGUUAUCGUCGUCAUUUUGAAUACCCAAAGGCACUUUUAAGAGCCACGUCCAUCUGUCUGCCUUUCUGUCUGGCUGUCUGUCUAUCUAUCUGCCUGUUUGGCUGUCUAACUGUCUGUCUGCCUAUCUGUCUGUCUGUCUGUCUGUCUGUCUGUCUGUCUGUCUGUCUGCCUGCCUGCCUGCCUGCCUGCCUGCCUGCCUGCCUGCCUGCCUGCCUGUCUGUCUGUCUGUCUGUCUGUCUGUCUGGGUCAGUCUGUUUGUGUUGCAAUGGCCAUGAGACAUACCAUUGACCGCCAGCAUCCCAGCUACAAAGAGGGGAAACGUAAAUUGCUUGAAAGUAAACAAGACCACCUUAUAGCUGAAGCUGAGAGAGCCGUUGAGGAGAGGAAACGUGCGCGUUCUGGUGGAGGACCUCCAUGUGGCUCCACUAGUGACGGUGCAAGACGAGGCAAGCCGAGGGGGAGGCGUGGAGGGCGACGCGGAGGGCGACGCAAAGCCUCAGCCACAGGACGUUAUGACUUGCAUCAGCCACUGUAUGUAUGUCAGACGUGCCAGCAGCAGAGGACCCCUGACAUGAAGCACUUCCUUCAGAGUGGAUAUUGGCCAGCCUCUCUCAAUACUUCCACGUUGUACACGUUGGACCUCUUGAGCUCCUUUCAGGAACUGAAAGUAAUCUCUCCGGGAUUCUCCAGACAGGCCUUCGCAAAGCUCCUGGAGCAUCGCACCAAGUGUGGAGGACGAGUUAGUAUUAUUGUUCUUGGACAUAUUACAACAUUUCUGUGCAUAAGCAGACAACAUCCCAAAUAUUUUUUUAUUCUAUGUAUCUUCCAGUCUGGACAUAUCAAAGGUGACACCCUGCAGCGCAGCUUCUUGGAGUUUUCAUAUGCUUCGUUUGAGAAGGACCAACUCUGCUGUGGUGCUGUUUUCACCUGCACAGCCUGCACACCAGAAAUGUUGGCUGUUUCAGUUGAUGGAAACAGAAAGUUAUAUCGCUUUCGCCGAAAUGGAAGUUCUGGUGACCAUGCCUUUUUUGAAGGUUUAUUUGUGGCUGAAGACUUUGCAGUGUCUGGAUUUGUGGACAUGAUCCAGAAAGCUGUGAAAAAGGCAAGUUUGAAUCGUAAUUUGACAAAAUACUUCUGUUGCUAA
RNAcentral lists this long non-coding RNA (1170 nucleotides) under Gadus morhua (Atlantic cod). RNAcentral's name for it is "lncRNA (ENSGMOG00000022722.1)". The record is from RNAcentral. Lineage: Eukaryota; Metazoa; Chordata; Actinopteri; Gadiformes; Gadidae.